GUCGAGAAUUUUUCUCAAUGGGGGAAACCCUGAAGGAGCGACGCCGCGUGGAGGAUGAAGGCUUUCGGGUUGUAAACUCCUGUCAUUUGAGAACAAGUGCCAACAAGUAACUACUGUUGGCUUGAUAGUAUCAGAAGAGGAAGGGACGGCUAACUCUGUGCCAGCAGCCGCGGUAAUACAGAGGUCCCAAGCGUUGUUCGGAUUCAUUGGGCGUAAAGGGUGCGUAGGUGGCGCCGUAAGUCGGGUGUGAAAUUUCGGAGCUUAACUCCGAAACUGCAUUCGAUACUGCGGUGCUUGAGGACUGGAGAGGAGACUGGAAUUCAUGGUGUAGCAGUGAAAUGCGUAGAGAUCAUGAGGAAGACCAGUGGCGAAGGCGGGUCUCUGGACAGUUCCUGACACUGAGGCACGAAGGCCAGGGGAGCAAACGGGAUUAGAAACCCUUGUAGUCC
RNAcentral lists this ribosomal RNA (449 nucleotides) under uncultured bacterium. Its description in RNAcentral is "bacterial SSU rRNA". It matches the Rfam family "Bacterial small subunit ribosomal RNA", at positions 354 to 796 of the family's 1533-position model. The record is from RNAcentral.